GAUGAACGCUGGCGGCGUGCCUAAUACAUGCAAGUCGAGCGAACAGACGAGGAGCUUGCUCCUCUGACGUUAGCGGCGGACGGGUGAGUAACACGUGGAUAACCUACCUAUAAGACUGGGAUAACUUCGGGAAACCGGAGCUAAUACCGGAUAAUAUAUUGAACCGCAUGGUUCAAUAGUGAAAGACGGUUUUGCUGUCACUUAUAGAUGGAUCCGCGCCGCAUUAGCUAGUUGGUAAGGUAACGGCUUACCAAGGCAACGAUGCGUAGCCGACCUGAGAGGGUGAUUGGCCACACUGGAACUGAGACACGGUCCAGACUCCUAAGGGAGGCAGCAGUAGGGAAUCUUCCGCAAUGGGCGAAAGCCUGACGGAGCAACGCCGCGUGAGUGAUGAAGGUCUUCGGAUCGUAAAACUCUGUUAUUAGGGAAGAACAAAUGUGUAAGUAACUAUGCACGUCUUGACGGUACCUAAUCAGAAAGCCACGGCUAACUACGUG
RNAcentral lists this ribosomal RNA (497 nucleotides) under uncultured bacterium. Its description in RNAcentral is "partial 16S ribosomal RNA". It matches the Rfam family "Bacterial small subunit ribosomal RNA", at positions 28 to 507 of the family's 1533-position model. The record is from RNAcentral.